UUGACCUCAAAUCAGGUAGGACUAUCCGCUGAACUUAA
RNAcentral lists this ribosomal RNA (38 nucleotides) under Fuscoporia ferruginosa. Its description in RNAcentral is "partial 28S ribosomal RNA". The record is from RNAcentral. Lineage: Eukaryota; Fungi; Basidiomycota; Agaricomycetes; Hymenochaetales; Hymenochaetaceae.